CAGUCGCCGCGGUAAUACGUAGGGUGCGAGCGUUAAUCGGAAUUACUGGGCGUAAAGCGUGCGCAGGCGGUUAUAUAAGACAGAUGUGAAAUCCCCGGGCUCAACCUGGGACCUGCAUUUGUGACUGUAUAGCUAGAGUACGGUAGAGGGGGAUGGAAUUCCGCGUGUAGCAGUGAAAUGCGUAGAUAUGCGGAGGAACACCGAUGGCGAAGGCAAUCCCCUGGACCUGUACUGACGCUCAUGCACGAAAGCGUGGGGAGCAAACAGGAUUAGAGACCCCCGUAGUCCCUGUCUCUUAUAC
This 301-nucleotide ribosomal RNA is filed under the name uncultured bacterium. Its description in RNAcentral is "partial 16S ribosomal RNA". It matches the Rfam family "Bacterial small subunit ribosomal RNA", at positions 509 to 807 of the family's 1533-position model. The record is from RNAcentral.